CCAUAUCUGAGAAACACUUUCCAUUCUAUUCAUUUUCACCUGAUUCGAAGCUUAGUGUGUUGCUGGAAAAGAAAGAAAAAAACAAUUUUAGUGUAGCGGUGUGUGUUUGGUGCAAUGACUUUGAGGUUUGAAUCAGUAGUGUGGGCUUUAAACCCUAAGCUAAGUCACCACCGUUUCUCCAUCCCCAAUCUUCGUCGGAAUCCCCACUCUCUAUUCGCACCUCCUCCUCCUCCUCGCAUUCGCACUUCCUUCCUCGCAUUCGAAGAAGGAGGAGGAGGAGAAAUCGAACCGGAGAAAAACGAAAACAACAACGAUAACCGUACCGGUGCCGAAGAAUCGUGGAAGCAAGCUCUGGACACGUUCCGAGAACAGGCCUCGAAGAUUCGAGAUGCUUCUCAAGAAGCGUACGAGCUGUACUCCGAGAAGGCGAUUGCGGUGUUGAAGGACGCCACGGAGGAGCUGAGAGUGGCCGCCAAGGAAAUCGGCGACGAAGGCAAACAGUAUCUCACCGUAGUUGCCGAGAAUUCGCCGGAGGUCAAGGAAGUCGUUGAAUCAUUCACCUCUCCAAGUCGUGACCUCAGCGAGAUUUCUCAAUUGCGCGAUUUCUACGUCGGUGUACCUUACGGUUUAGUUCUUUCUGUAGGGGGGUUUGUUUCCUUCAUGGUUACAGGUAGCAUUGCAGCACUAAGGUUUGGGAUAGUGUUAGGUAGCGUCCUUUUGGCUCUAGGUGUUUCAAGUCUCCGGGCAUACAAAAGAGGACAACCUUCUUCUUUAAUGCUCAAAGGCCAAACUGCAAUAGCAAGUAUAUUGUUUUUGCGGGAGAUAAGAUUGCUAGCUGCAGAGGGGUCACCACUUGUAACUUAUUUCACUUCAUUGAUCAGGUUCUUGAAAACUUGCUGUUAUUUACAUGAAUGGUUUUAUAUAACAUAACACUUCUGGGGAGUGGCUUGGUUAUGAGGUGAAACCUGCUAUGAUGUUCUACAGGCACAGAAUGUUGAAAAUUACAUUUUGGUCUGAAGCUUAAAAGUUGACAAGUGGUGCAGUAGUGGCAUUUUAUGUCUACAGAUUGGUACUGGAACAUAAACAAAAAAAUGCAUCAAACUUGGAAAAUGGUGCAGAAAAUUAGUUAAAUCAUACAAGGAUACUAAAACUUCCUGUGGUGUACGUCCUUCCUCUGAAGUGGCGUAUCAUGAACUGGUUUUACCUUUCAUUGACCUCUCUAGUACCCUUUCCAUUUGCAAAUGGUUCUUUAGAGAGAAACCCAUGCUUGGUAGGUUGCAGGUCCUAUUAUACAGCUAAGAGCUUGUUGAUAGUUCAAAUAGGGUCUUGAAUUCUGUCUUUUCCCACCAAAAAAUAAUUAAAAAAAUAGAAGCAGCCCUCGAGUUUUUGUUCACCCUUACAGGAGGGGGAAUUUGCGCUUCUUUUGGCGAAUGAAGGUUUUGUGAGACUUUCCUCUUUUGAAGUCUAAGAAACAAUUUUAACGUUGAUGAGGAGUUACAGAGGAAAUAUAAACAGUCUGUAGAAAAUCACAAAUUCAAGUUAUGAAGUUGUCAUGAAUCAAAGGUUGAUAUUUUACCCAUUAGUUAGCUUUUGGAAUUUAGUUUGAUCCAAGUUUUUUUGUUUCAAAGGAGUAAAGGUCCUCCUUGGCCUCAACAAAGGUUGUAUAAAAAUAUAGGUAAAAACUGCACAAUUAUAAAUCUAUUUGCUUUCCUUAACAUAAUUAAGUGGAUAUAUUUUGUUGUACAA
RNA transcript from Glycine soja, 1746 nucleotides. It is a transcript of the gene named protein FATTY ACID EXPORT 3, chloroplastic-like, with no coding region annotated. The record is from RefSeq and is a predicted model, not a curated record. Lineage: Eukaryota; Viridiplantae; Streptophyta; Magnoliopsida; Fabales; Fabaceae. The transcript has 6 exons.